Molecule: long non-coding RNA, 824 nt
Organism: Belonocnema kinseyi
Lineage: Eukaryota; Metazoa; Arthropoda; Insecta; Hymenoptera; Cynipidae
Exons: 3
Source: RefSeq, a predicted model, not a curated record
CUUAAGUUACAGAAACUGAAAAAUAAAACAUAGCUAAGAAUUUUAUUCAAUAACAUCACACAAAAAUUUCAACCUUUUAUUUGUACAGCAAAACUGAAAAAAGCUACAAACAGUUGAAACCUUUUUUACUAACACGUUGCCAAUUACAAGCACGUGCACAACUCUUUAACGUAGUUGUAUGUAGUAUUUUUAUCCAUUAUUAACAUUAAAGAAGCUUGGGUCUAUCUGUGAUGUAAAUGCCUUCAGAAUAAAUUUGGACACAAAAUAACAAACAUGCUACCUACAAAUACUAUGACAACCAUAUUUAUGGUAUUGGCGCUGAUUUAUUGUUCAAUGGCCUGCGAGGGGCACGACAGCCCAUGUAUGGUUUUCAAGGCAGUUGUUGCGGAGGCAUGCUUUGUCUGAAGAAUGACCCUUCUUGAAAACAAGGACGCUGUUACUAUUAUGCUGAAAAAAUAUGAAACAUCCCGUGCAGAAAUUGCCCAACGAGUUAUUUCCGAGUUCCGAUCUGGGCCCGAUCGGAUUUUCCACAUGUGGCCCCAAGGGGGCAGAUGAUGUGGCUCGCAUCUAGGCCACGUCAGAUCGUGUUAGGUUAGACAAGAUUAUGUAAAGUUUUCAUUAUUGUCGUAAUAUUGUUUUUCUUUCAUAGAACUUAAAAUGCCAAAAGACAAAAGGAAUAAAUUAAUUGUUAGUGAGAUUUCUUAUAUCCGCAAUAAGACAAAGGUAAGCUUUAAUUCGCUAUAAUCAACAUCGCAAUUCAUUUUUAUCUUCUGAAGAUUUCCAGCAAUGUAUUCGAGAAAGCGUCGUCAUUUUUAACGCAUUUA